Molecule: transfer RNA, 74 nt
Filed under: Armatimonadota bacterium
Lineage: Bacteria; Bacillati; Armatimonadota
Description: Armatimonadetes bacterium (groundwater metagenome) tRNA-Gln
Rfam family: tRNA
About the family: Transfer RNA (tRNA) molecules are approximately 80 nucleotides in length. Their secondary structure includes four short double-helical elements and three loops (D, anti-codon, and T loops).
Source: RNAcentral
UGAGGCGUAGCCAAGCGGUAAGGCAUCGGCCUUUGGAGCCGACAUCCCUGGUUCGAAUCCAGGCGCCUCAGCCA